This 253-nucleotide ribosomal RNA is filed under the name uncultured bacterium. Its description in RNAcentral is "partial 16S ribosomal RNA". It matches the Rfam family "Bacterial small subunit ribosomal RNA", at positions 524 to 776 of the family's 1533-position model. The record is from RNAcentral.
UACGGGGGGGGUAAGCGUUGUUCGGAAUUACUGGGCGUAAAGGGCUCGUAGGCGGCCAACUAAGUCAGACGUGAAAUCCCUCAGCUUAACUGGGGAACUGCGUCUGAUACUGGAUGGCUUGGAUUUGGGAGAGGAAUGCGGAAUUCCAGGUGUAGCGGUGAAAUGCGUAGAUAUCUGGAGGAACACCGGUGGCGAAGGCGGCAUCCUGGACCAACACUGACGCUGAGGAGCGAAAGCCAGGGGAGCAAACGGG